GACGAACGCUGGCGGCGUGCUUAACACAUGCAAGUCGAACGGAAAGGCCCUGCUUUUGUGGGGUGCUCGAGUGGCGAACGGGUGAGUAACACGUGAGUAACCUGCCCUUGACUUUGGGAUAACUCCAGGAAACUGGGGCUAAUACCGGAUAGGAGCUCCUGCUGCAUGGUGGGGGUUGGAAAGUUUCGGCGGUUGGGGAUGGACUCGCGGCUUAUCAGCUUGUUGGUGGGGUAGUGGCUUACCAAGGCUUUGACGGGUAGCCGGCCUGAGAGGGUGACCGGCCACAUUGGGACUGAGAGACGGCCCAGACUCCUACGGGAGGCAGAAGUGGGGAAUAUUGCACAAUGGGCGGAAGCCUGAUGCAGCAACGCCGCGUGCGGGAUGACGGCCUUCGGGUUGUAAACCGCUUUCGCCUGUGACGAAGCGUGAGUGACGGUAAUGGGUAAAGAAGCACCGGCUAACUACGUG
Molecule: ribosomal RNA, 468 nt
Filed under: uncultured bacterium
Lineage: Bacteria
Description: partial 16S ribosomal RNA
Rfam family: Bacterial small subunit ribosomal RNA
Source: RNAcentral